CACAGCACAGGCACUGAUCAAAGUUCUAGGUGUUUACCUGCACCCAGCCAUUAGCAGAGCACCUGCCUGCUGCUGCUGCCAGCACUAGGAACGCUGAGGAGACAGUACAGGAACAAAAGCAAGAUCAUAACUGGCUUCCAGAUGUUUCCCGUGAAUGUGACACAGAAGGAAGCAGGAACAGGAAUGGUGUGGAUGGUACCAGACGUUCCAACCCCUGCAUCAGCCCAUUAGCGGUGGGCAAUGAACACAGUGCUGUGCUGAGCCUCAGCAAUUAUGAUCCUGUUCCUGAUGAACAAACCAAACAGCUGUGCCUGUUUAUCUUAUUGAUCAUCUCUACACUUGCUAUGGUGACCUGCAAACACUUUCAGCAGUAUCCUGAGUCAACAUGUCUACGAAACUUUGUUAAAGAAGAGGAUCUCCUGGCUCAUGCACUGGAAAUGCUGC
RNAcentral lists this long non-coding RNA (444 nucleotides) under Heterocephalus glaber (naked mole-rat). RNAcentral's name for it is "lncRNA (ENSHGLG00100039992.1)". Lineage: Eukaryota; Metazoa; Chordata; Mammalia; Rodentia; Bathyergidae. The record is from RNAcentral.